Molecule: ribosomal RNA, 223 nt
Filed under: uncultured bacterium
Lineage: Bacteria
Description: partial 16S ribosomal RNA
Rfam family: Bacterial small subunit ribosomal RNA
Source: RNAcentral
UGAGCAAUCUGCCCUUCACAUCGGAAUAACCAUUGGAAACGAUGGCUAAUACCGAAUAUGACUUCGGAUCGCAUGAUCUGAAGUGGAAAGCUCCGGCGGUGAAGGAUGAGCUCGCGGCCUAUCAGCUUGUUGGUGAGGUAAUAGCUCACCAAGGCGAUGGACGGGUAGCCGGCCUGAGAGGGUGACCGGCCACACGUGGGACUGAGACACGGCCCAGACUCCG